AUUGAACGCUGGCGGCAGGCCUAACACAUGCAAGUCGAGCGGAUGAAGGGAGCUUGCUCCUGGAUUCAGCGGCGGACGGGUGAGUAAUGCCUAGGAAUCUGCCUGGUAGUGGGGGAUAACGUCCGGAAACGGGCGCUAAUACCGCAUACGUCCUGAGGGAGAAAGUGGGGGGUCUUCGGACCUCACGCUAUCAGAUGAGCCUAGGUCGGAUUAGCUAGUUGGUGGGGUAAAGGCCUACCAAGGCGACGAUCCGUAACUGGUCUGAGAGGAUGAUCAGUCACACUGGAACUGAGACACGGUCCAGUCUCCUACGGGAGGCAGCAGUGGGGAAUAUUGGACAAUGGGCGAAAGCCUGAUCCAGCCAUGCCGCGUGUGUGAAGAAGGUCUUCGGAUUGUAAAGCACGUUAAGUUGGGAGGAAGGGCAGUAAGUUAAUACCUUGCUGUUUUGACGUUACCAACAGAAUAAGCACCGGCUAACUUCGUG
RNAcentral lists this ribosomal RNA (484 nucleotides) under uncultured bacterium. Its description in RNAcentral is "partial 16S ribosomal RNA". It matches the Rfam family "Bacterial small subunit ribosomal RNA", at positions 30 to 507 of the family's 1533-position model. The record is from RNAcentral.